ACGGCCAUAUCACAUUGGAAACACCCGUUCUCGUCCGAUCAUCGAAGUUAAGCAAUGUCAGGGCCGAUCAGUACUUGGGAGGGUGACCACCUGGAAACACUGGGUGCUGUAGGCU
Molecule: ribosomal RNA, 115 nt
Filed under: Cordylochernes scorpioides
Lineage: Eukaryota; Metazoa; Arthropoda; Arachnida; Pseudoscorpiones; Chernetidae
Source: RNAcentral